GUAAGUUGGCUGCGAUUUGAAU
This 22-nucleotide microRNA is filed under the name Panagrellus redivivus. Its description in RNAcentral is "prd-miR-7926-5p". The record is from miRBase by way of RNAcentral. Lineage: Eukaryota; Metazoa; Nematoda; Chromadorea; Rhabditida; Panagrolaimidae.